AGAGAAGAAAACAGAUUUUAUAUUUCGAGAAACUGAGAUUGAUAGCAAGUGGUAGAAAGCAUGGGAUUUUGAUUCUCACAAGCCUGUGUUUGAAUCCCAGCUCCUACCAAAUACCUUAAGCCUGCAUGUUGAUUUUCUCAUCUGCAAAACUGAGACAACUGUAUCAACCUCAUAUGAUUACUGGGAACAUGAAAUGAGGCCAUAUACUUAAAAUAUUGAGCACAGUGUUUGGCAAUAGUUAGCUUUCAUAGUGUGAUUGUUCCCCAAGACAAAUUAACCAAGCACAGUAAGGGGAAAUGGGGCACCAGGCAUACCUAGCAGACCAUGGGUGGGUGUGCUGAAUGAACCACAUUUAUGCUGAUAUGAUGGCUGGGUUUUCUUGAUCUGGACACAUCCUUCCCUUGAGAAGAACAUCUGCUGGCUGAAACUCCUCACCUUGGUCCUGUCCACAUUUCUCCAUUUCCAUCCCCACCCUCUUUUAGUGAAGACCACUCAGGCUUCUCCCAUGUACUAAUCUGCAUAGCUUGUUUAGAGAUUUGAGCCUACAAAAGGAUUCUUAGGCAACAAAAGAGAGAAGUUACUUUGUCCACAUGCUCAAGACGCCUGCUUUGUGGAUAUUAUCAAGACAGAUUGUGUAGCAAAUUGAAGAAGGCCGCCCAGAGUGUCAGAAUGUAUGUACAGUAAUUGAAAAGUAUUGCUUGCACACUUUCAGUAUCUGGACAAUCCCCCAGCAGACAAUGGCAUCAAGGGAUAUAAUGCACCAUAAAGGAUGGAUUCCAGCUGCAUCCAGGACAAAUGUCAUGCACAUGCCCUGAGGAGGGUAGGAAGGGCAUCCACUACACUAAUGGUUUCCAAGGGAGAUGAUACUCCUGUUUUUCAUGAGUCAGAGACAAGAAAGGGGCUUUGUCAAAAACACCCUCUGUGCUCACAUUUGGCUCAGUGUUUUAUGCUUCCUGAACGACCCACCUGAAGAUGUACUGCCUGCUCUUAUUUUGGUGUUUCCCGAGAGUGUCCAGGGUUUCCAUCAUUAACUAAUCCCUAAUCACUAUCCUCCAGUUUUGAAUCACUGAUUCCCCCAAUGUCUCCCACCUGGCUGGUGACUGCACUGUGUUUUCACAGCCACCAAAGGAAUGGUAAACUUUACCUCUCAGAAGACUGAGUGAAGGCUUUGUUUUGCCUUGUGAAUUUGCUCAUUUGGUGUCCUUGGCUUGGGCCUGUGUGGAUGGGACUUGAUUGGAUUUGAGAUUUGAGAUUGAUUUCCUAUGAACUCCACUGGGAGCCAGAAGAAGAAUGGAGUGACAGAGGGACUGCUGAUCUUUGACCCCAGCCAAUUGAUGGCUGUUGUCAUCACUGUUGGUGGCUGCUCUGAACAAGAAUGCAUUGUCUCUCCAUCUAUUGUGGACUUGCCUUCAAAGUCAAUCUUCACAGGAUGUACCCCUUUAAUCAGGGAAUGUGCCCUUCCACCUAGGCAAAGGAUGGAUGAGGAAAGCAGAUAAAAUAGUGAAAUGGAAGCUGCAUGUUGUUGGAUCCCUUGCUUAUCAUUAUGGAGGGAAAGGCCAGGUUUUAUCCCAGUCUGCCUGCUUCGAAUCUCAUCUUCUAGACAAGAGUUUGGUUAAAGGAAAUGAUGUCUGGCGCUAAAAUUUUGCUUAACAGAAUGAUUGGAGAGGGGACCUCUUUUGAGUGACCCUUGAAACGAGGGAGCAAACUAGACAGAGACACCUGGAGGAAGAGGGUCCCACACAGAGGGAGCAGCAAGAGCCGAUGCGCUGAGGUGGGAGGAUACCUGAUGAGCCUGAGGACCAGCAUGGAGGCCCAUGUGGCUGGAAAGAAGGAACAAGCGGGAGAGAGGUCAAAUAAAGAUGUCUCUGAACAAACAAAAAUGGAGGAAAUUCAUCACGAAGAAAACUACACUAUAAGAAAUGCCAAAGUGCAGAUGGAAAAUGAUCCCAGAAGGAAACAGAAAUACUGGAAGGAAUGAGGAGCAAAGUAAAGAUUAAAUAGGUCCUGGAGCUUUUGCAAACCCCAGUAGAAACUUUGGAUCUUGUAGUCCCACCUGCCUUUCC
This 2063-nucleotide long non-coding RNA is filed under the name Sus scrofa (pig). Its description in RNAcentral is "lncRNA (ENSSSCG00055014859.1)". Lineage: Eukaryota; Metazoa; Chordata; Mammalia; Artiodactyla; Suidae. The record is from RNAcentral.